AAUCCCCGCAGGCGCUGGGUCUGCAGAUGGCGUCCAGGUACACAGUGGCGAGUGUGAUUCCGCAGUCUUGGGCUGUUUGGCCAAGCGCCCGCCGGACAUGGUACGCCGAAGGGUCAUCGGCGUGGAGUCCUCGCUUUCAGCGUCCGCGGCUGGGAAAUCGGCCAUCGCUACGGCGGGAACUGGGACUCGGGCUGCGUCCCGGCCCUUCCACAUCGGUCCACCGCACUCGUGGGCGCCCGCAUUGGUGCUGACAUAAUUUCCUGACCUCUGACCCGUAUUGUCUCGCGAUUAAAGGUCCAGAUUUGGAACAAAUCUCUCUAGAGAUUGAACAGAGCUGCGCCUGGAUCCCUCAGCAGUGAGGAGACCUGAAGACCAGAGGAAACACAGCAAGCACAUGGACAGACAGAUAGAAGGAUGGGAAAAUAGAUAGAUGGUCCAGGCACAAUGGCUCACGCCUGUAAUCUCAGCACUUUGGGAGGCCAAGGCGUGUGGAUUACCUGAGGUCAGGAGUUUGAGACCAGCCUAGCCAACAUGGUGAAACCCCAUCUCUACU
This 553-nucleotide long non-coding RNA is filed under the name Homo sapiens (human). RNAcentral describes it as "non-protein coding lnc-ZNF345-29:7". The record is from RNAcentral. Lineage: Eukaryota; Metazoa; Chordata; Mammalia; Primates; Hominidae.